This is a non-coding RNA of Vicugna pacos (alpaca), 100 nucleotides long. The record is from RefSeq and is a predicted model, not a curated record. Lineage: Eukaryota; Metazoa; Chordata; Mammalia; Artiodactyla; Camelidae.
CGAUAGAUAAAUAGCCCUGGUUGGUACUCAGUAACCAGUGUCAUCUGUUCUAGCAGCAUAAAAUAUAAUGAAAUUGGAAACAGAAGAGCGGAAGAGCUCA